UACAGAGGGCUCAAGCGUUGUUCGGAUUCAUUGGGCGUAAAGGGCGCGUAGGCGGCUUUAUAAGUCGGGGGUGAAAGCCUGUGGCUCAACCACAGAAUUGCCUUCGAUACUGUAGAGCUUGAGACCGGAAGAGGUUAGUGGAACUGCGAGUGUAGAGGUGAAAUUCGUAGAUAUUCGCAAGAACACCAGUGGCGAAGGCGGCUGACUGGUCCGGUUCUGACGCUGAGGCGCGAAAGCGUGGGGAGCAAACAGG
Molecule: ribosomal RNA, 253 nt
Filed under: uncultured bacterium
Lineage: Bacteria
Description: partial 16S ribosomal RNA
Rfam family: Bacterial small subunit ribosomal RNA
Source: RNAcentral